AUGAAAGGAGGCUGCAAGGAGAGGCUUUUCCUUCUUAUUAAUGACACCGGCGAUUGUCUAGAGUUGGAAAGAAAAGCCUGUUGGAGAAAGAGCCUUUUAAAAAGAGGACAGGCAGUGGGGGCACUCAGUUUGGGACCCCUCCUCAAUGAGACCCUCAUUGUCCCUACUUGCAGACAGUGCCGCCGAGGAAGCCGGGCUCCAGGUCGGGGACGUGGUGCUGGCCGUCAAUGGCACNNNNNNNNNNNNNNNGGAGCACGCAGAAGCCGUGCACCUUGCAAGGAAAGGUCCAGACCUCUUGACUCUGGUGGUGGGAUCCGACAUCAGCCGCUGUCCCAACACCCCCCGGCCCGCCUGCCGUGGCUACCUGCAUAAGAGGACACACUCCGGGUUCAUGAAGGGCUGGAGGAAGCGAUGGUUCGUGCUGAAGAAUGACGGCUGCCUCCAGUAUUACAGACAUAAGAAGGUAAACUGAGGGGAAGGCGGAGGGCUGGAGCGCGUCAGAACACGCCACUCUGGGGAGUGCGGUGGGUGCAUUAACAAAGGAUUGUCAUGUCAAGUCCUGCGCAUGGUGCAGGAUUCUAGAAACAGGGCUCUCUCCUGUGACUUCUAAAGAACUUUUCCUUCUCCAGAGGUUCAGAGGAGUGUAAUUUAUUUUCUCUGCGGCUGCAUAAAUCAAGGCUGGCAUGAGUUUCUAUCUCAUUUAUUCCUAUUUUCAGACGCUCUGUGAAAACUCUCUUAUCAAAGUCAAGAAAAUAGGAGCCAAACCGUAUACCUAGUGCCCUAGAGAAAUCAAGGCCAACUAAGGCAAAGCACAGCUAACACCUCGCUGGCCCGCGUGUGCGGGCACUGUUUCCUAGGCAACAGGGGCUGGUGUCCGCGAGGCUUCUGAAGCAGAGGACCUGAGAAUAUACUUCAUCUCCUCACCUAGGGCCCCGUAGAGCAGCGAUUUCUAAACAUAGGUGAAGGUUGACAGCUUCUGGGGAAUGUUCUCAGAAUAUGAGCUCUAGUCCCCUUCCCCAGUGUUUCUCCCCAUGUUUCAGCCAAGUCUGAGGUGAGGCAUGGCCUGCAGGUCUGGGGAAGGGCCUUGGGGGGACUAGCCCACGGUGU
RNAcentral lists this long non-coding RNA (1107 nucleotides) under Capra hircus (goat). RNAcentral describes it as "lncRNA (ENSCHIG00010013707.1)". The record is from RNAcentral. Lineage: Eukaryota; Metazoa; Chordata; Mammalia; Artiodactyla; Bovidae.